AAGCCAUGCACCGAAGCUGAGGAUGUGACAGUUGUAGUGACUGUUGCGUGGUAGCGGAGCGUUCCGUAAGUCUGUGAAGGCGGACCCGUGAGGGCUGCUGGAGAUAUCGGAAGUGCGAAUGUUGACAUGAGUAACGAUAAAGGGAGUGAGAGACUCCCUCGCCGAAAGACCAAGGGUUCCUGCUUAAAGUUAAUCUGAGCAGGGUUAGCCGGCCCCUAAGACGAGGCGGACACGCGUAGUCGAUGGGAACCACGUUAAUAUUCGUGGGCCUGGUGGUAGUGACGGAUCUCGUGUGUUGUACAUUCUUACUGGAUUGAAUGUGCGGCGAAGAGGUUCCAGGAAAUAGCUCCACCGUAUAGACCGUACCCGAAACCGACACAGGUGGUCAGGUAGAGUAUACCAAGGCGCUUGAGAGAACUAUGUUGAAGGAACUCGGCAAAUUGCACGCGUAACUUCGGAAGAAGCGUGACCCCAUUUUACGCAAGUAUGAUGGGGUGGCACAGACCAGGGGGUAGCGACUGUUUAUCAAAAACACAGGGCUCUGCGAAGUAGCAAUACGACGUAUAGGGUCUGACGCCUGCCCGGUGCUGGAAGGUUAAAGGGAGGGGUGCAAGCUCUGAACUGAAGCCCCAGUAAACGGCGGCCGUAACUAUAACGGUCCUAAGGUAGCGAAAUUCCUUGUCGGGUAAGUUCCGACCUGCACGAAUGGCGUAACGACUUCCCCGCUGUCUCCAACAUAGACUCAGUGAAAUUGAAUUCCCCGUGAAGAUGCGGGGUUCCUGCGGUCAGACGGAAAGACCCCGUGCACCUUUACUAUAGCUUUACACUGGCAUUCGCCAAGGCAUGUGUAGGAUAGGUGGUAGGCUUUGAAGCAGGGACGCCAGUUCUUGUGGAGCCAUCCUUGAAAUACCACCCUUAUCUUCGUGGAUGUCUAACCGCGGUCCGUUAUCCGGAUCCGGGACAGUGUAUGGUGGGUAGUUUGACUGGGGCGGUCGCCUCCGAAAGAGUAACGGAGGCGCGCGAUGGUGGGCUCAGACCGGUCGGAAAUCGGUCGUCGAGUGCAAUGGCAUAAGCCCGCCUGACUGCGAGACUGACAAGUCGAGCAGAGACGAAAGUCGGUCAUAGUGAUCCGGUGGUCCCGUGUGGAAGGGCCAUCGCUCAACGGAUAAAAGGUACGCCGGGGAUAACAGGCUGAUGACCCCCAAGAGUCCAUAUCGACGGGGUUGUUUGGCACCUC
Molecule: ribosomal RNA, 1237 nt
Filed under: feces metagenome
Description: bacterial LSU rRNA
Rfam family: Bacterial large subunit ribosomal RNA
Source: RNAcentral